This 77-nucleotide transfer RNA is filed under the name Trichonephila inaurata madagascariensis. RNAcentral's name for it is "tRNA-Arg". It matches the Rfam family "tRNA". From Rfam's summary of the family: Transfer RNA (tRNA) molecules are approximately 80 nucleotides in length. Their secondary structure includes four short double-helical elements and three loops (D, anti-codon, and T loops). The record is from RNAcentral. Lineage: Eukaryota; Metazoa; Arthropoda; Arachnida; Araneae; Nephilidae.
GGACCUGUAGCGCAAUCGAUAGCGCGUUGGACUUCUAAUCCAAAGGGCGUGGGUUCGAAUCCCAACUGGGAUAACCU